UUUCCGUAGGUGAACCUGCGGAAGGAUCAUUGUCGAAACCUGCCCAGCAGAACGACCCGCGAACUUGUAUAAACAACCGGGGGCGGGGGGCGUUCUCGCCCCGUGCCCCCGAACGGCGGGGAGACACUCGUGCCUUCUUGCCGAACAACGAACCCCGGCGCGGUUUGCGCCAAGGAACUUCAACUAAAGAGUGCCUCCGGUCGCCUCGGAAACGGCGUGCGUGCCGGGGGCGAAUCUUGUGCAAAACCAUAACGACUCUCGGCAACGGAUAUCUCGGCUCUC
RNAcentral lists this unclassified non-coding RNA (282 nucleotides) under plant metagenome. RNAcentral describes it as "partial contains small subunit ribosomal RNA, internal transcribed spacer 1, and 5.8S ribosomal RNA". The record is from RNAcentral.